Molecule: non-coding RNA, 8673 nt
Organism: Plutella xylostella (diamondback moth)
Lineage: Eukaryota; Metazoa; Arthropoda; Insecta; Lepidoptera; Plutellidae
Source: RefSeq, a predicted model, not a curated record
UGUGGUUUUCGAAUCAGUCAUUGAACCUCAUUGAACGAAACGAACGACAGACAGCGACAGAAAGCUAAACUAGAAUCUCAAAGGCCCCGCCUAUAAAUUCUGUUAUUUAUUUCAGUUUGGGAAAACGCGAUGAUAUUUUUAUAAUUUAGGAUAUUAGAUUGUAAGGAAGAAGACUUUCAAACAUGGGUACAACUUGUAGAAUAUUAUGCUUAGUCGCAGUAUUAUCGCAAGCAUCGGCGCUGUUGACAUCUCCGCCGCGGAUGGUGAAGCAGCCGGUGGCAGGCGAGCAGCUGUUCCAAGUGGCUCUGAAGGGCGAGGCCGACAAGCCCUUCAUCAUUGAGUGCGAGGCAGAGGGAGAACCAGCACCUAAAUACCGAUGGGAGAAGAACGGCAAAGCUUUCGAGUACACGAGCUACGACAAGCGAAUCUCUCAGCAGCCGGGCCGCGGCACCCUGUACUUCACGGAGCCCCGCGAUGAAGACAUCGGACAGUACCAGUGCUUCGCCGAGAACGAGUGGGGCAUCGCCGCCUCCAACUCCGUCUUCUUACGCAAAGCUGAGCUGAACUCUUUCAAGGAAUCCGACGGCCAGCAGCAAACCCAAACAGCUCAAGAAGGCUACCCUUUUAAGCUAGCGUGCCAGCCGCCAGACGGCUGGCCCAAGCCUAUGGUCUACUGGAUGUUGCAAGGAGAUCAGGGACAGCUGAAGACGAUCAACAACUCGCGUAUGACGCUGGACCCGGAAGGGAACUUGUGGUUUUCGAACGUCACUCGACACGACGCAUCUGAAGACUACGCCUACACUUGUGCGGCUAAGUCGUCGUUCAGGAAUGAGUACAAGUUGGGCAGCAAGGUGUUCCUGGUUGUGCAGCAGACGGGGAUAGCGCCGGGGCUGAACAAACACGCGCCGGUACACCAGUAUACCACGAGGAGGAACGAGGUCGGGCUGAGAGGGAAGAAGGUCGAACUCUACUGUAUUUAUGGCGGAACGCCUCUCCCCCAAACGGUAUGGAAGAAAGACGGUCGCUCGAUCCUCUCCUCACAAGGAGUCACUCAAGACAACUACGGCAAGACGCUGGUGAUCAAGAGUGCGGGGUACGAAGACCAGGGGACAUACACCUGCGAAGUGAGCAACGGAGUGGGGACGGCUCAGACGUACUCGAUCAAUCUCAAUAUACAAGCGGCGCCAAUCUUCACGGAGGAACCCCAGUUCCUGAACCUGGCUGAGGGCGAGACGGCGGAGUUCCGCUGCCAGGCCGACGGAACCCCGGAGCCCCAGAUCAAGUGGAUCUACAACGGGCGGCCCAUUGAGCGCGCGCCGCCCAACGCACGCCGACAAGUCAACCCUGAUUCGAUUAUUAUUACGGACCUGGUGAAGAAUGAUACGGGGAACUAUGGAUGCAACGCUACGAAUUCGCUGGGAUACGUGUACAAGGAUGUUUAUAUUAAUGUGCAGUCCAUUCCCCCAGAGGUCAAAGAGGGUCCAGGCAACCUGACGAAGGUGGACGGGUCGGAGGCGGUGCUGGCGUGCCGCGUGUUCGGGGCGCCGCGCCCGCUCAUCAAGUGGAUCAAAGAUGGCGCCGAGGUCACUGGAGGAAGAUACAACAUAACGACGGAGGGCGACCUGGUGAUCCGCUCGGUGACGUACACGGACGUGGGCACGUACCAGUGCUACGCCAAGAACAAGUUCGGCGAGACCUCGGCCUUCGGCUCGCUCACUGUUAAGAAGCGCACAGUCAUCACAGACAAGCCGGAACACUACGAAGUAGCCGCGGGAUCCUCAGCAACAUUCCGUUGCAACGCCAACGCAGACGACUCCCUGCAACUAGACAUCAUCUGGCUGAAGAAGGACCAGCCGCUCGACUUCGAGAAUCAACCCCGGUUCAGAAUGACUAAUGACUAUUCGCUGCUCAUAUCGGAUACGCAGGAGUUGGACUCUGGGGAGUAUACGUGUAUCGCGAAGACGGCGAUCGAUGAGGCGCGCGCGCAGGCCACGCUGACUGUUCAAGACAAACCCAACCCGCCCGAGCUAGCCGGCAUCGAGUGCUUCGAGAAAGUGGCAACCCUGCGCUGGUCACCGAAAGGAGACAACCGGGCGCCGAUUCUCAGAUUCUCCAUCCAGUACAACACGACAUUCACGCCCGACACUUGGGACAUCGCCAACGACAACGUGCCCGCAAUCGACACCUCGUGGACGGUGGACCUUAGCCCCUGGGCUAAUUACACGUUCAGGGUUAUCGCGUGGAACAAGAUCGGGCCGUCGAUGCCGUCGUCCCACUCUGAAGUUUGCACGACUCAGCCGGACGUGCCGUAUAAGAACCCGGACAAUGUGGAGGGGAAGGGCACUGAUCCGUCGAAUAUGGUCAUCUCUUGGUCGCCAAUGCCGCAAAUCGAGCACAACGGCCCCGGCUUCUACUACCUGGUGUCGUACCGGCGCAACAUCUCGGGGCAGGCGUGGACGGACGAGCUGGUGCGCGAGUGGCGCGGCACCAGCCUGCUCGUGCGCAACACGCCCACCUUCCAGCCGUACAAGAUCAAGGUGAGUCGAGCACAACGGCCCGGCUUCUACUACCUGGUGUCGUACCGGCGCAACAUCUCGGGGCAGGCGUGGACGGACGAGCUGGUGCGCGAGUGGCGCGGCACCAGCCUGCUCGUGCGCAACACGCCCACCUUCCAGCCGUACAAGAUCAAGGUGAGUCGAGCACAACGGCCCGGCUUCUACUACCUGGUGUCGUACCGGCGCAACAUCUCGGGGCAGGCGUGGACGGACGAGCUGGUGCGCGAGUGGCGCGGCACCAGCCUGCUCGUGCGCAACACGCCCACCUUCCAGCCGUACAAGAUCAAGGUAAUCGCAGUGAACUCCAAAGGCACCUCCAACGUGGCUCCAGUAGAAGUGAUCGGCUGGUCCGGAGAAGACAGUCCGCUACAGGCCCCCACCAACUUCACCCUGGUCCAAGUGACCAGCGCCACCACCGCGCUCUUCUCAUGGAACCCUGUCACACCAGAGUCCAUCCGGGGACACUUCAAGGGCUACAAGAUACAGACCUGGACGGAUGACGGCGAUAUCAGAGAGUACAAACACAAGCCCGACUCGAAAACGGCGCUUGUUAACAAUCUGGUGGCGUAUUCCAAGAAUUAUGCGAGAGUGUUGGCGUAUAAUGAGAGGUACAAUGGACCGGUGAGCGAGGUCGUCAGCUUUGUGACUCCUGAGGGAACCCCGGAAUCGGUACGAUCAUUCAAAGCCUACCCUAUAGGGUCAUCGGCCAUGUUGCUUCGCUGGGACAAGCCAGAACGCGAGAAUGGCAUAUUAACUGGCUACAAAAUCUACUACCAAAAGGUCAUAGGCACAGCGACUGGUUCGCUCCAAGAGAGGAAGAAGGAAAUCGACCCGAAAUUCGACCGCGCAAAGCUGGCCGGACUCGAGCCCAACACUAAAUACCGCAUCAUCAUCAAGGCCAAAACACGUGCCGGCGAAGGAAAAGACAUGUUUGUCGAAGAAACCACCAAAUCGGUCGAGACUAAAAUCCCUGAUGUGCCGAUAUUCGAAGCUUCAACUUUGCCUGCUAAGCAAGGCACAGCGCAUAUCCUCGUCCGUUGGAUCCCUAGUCUUGAAGGUCAUGCGGGGACGCACUUCAUCGCUUGGUACCGUCUGAAGGCUCAUCCUGCCUGGAUGAAGACUAAUGAAGUGACGGAUGAAGACUAUACUGUACUGACCGGGCUGGAGCCAGGGCAGGUGUACGAGGUCAAGAUUACUGCACACGAUGGAGAAUACUUCAGAGAUAGUGAGAUUAAAGAAGUGGAUACUACUAUUGACGGCCCAGUAAUAAUGCGCGACGACAAGAUGGCUCACGCCGGCUGGUUCAUCGGCGUGAUGUUAGCUCUCGCCUUCCUUCUACUAGUGUUGGUGCUGGUGUGCGUGGCGCGGCGCAACCGCGGCGGCAAGUACGACGUGCACGAGAGGGAGCUGCAGCACGGGCGGCGCGACCCGAGUCGACCCUUCCAGGAGUAUACGCAGCCCUUGGACAGCAAGUCUCGUCACUCGAUGAGCAGCGGCACGAAGCACCCUGAGAGCGAUACGGACUCCAUGGCCGAGUACGGCGAAGGAGAAACAGCGGGUAUGAACGAGGACGGUUCGUUCAUCGGACAGUACGGGCGCAAGCGACGCCCGCCACCCUCCACGGGCCAGCCCGACUCGGCCUCGCAGGCCUUCGCCACGCUCGUCUAAAACCUCCUUCACUAAACCUCUUCCAAGCACACUCACCCAAUUCCCGAACCCCAACCUUGUCCAAGCGCUAGUUUCUAAACGUAGUGCCAUCGAAAACUAAAUCUGACACAUGAAAGGCCAAUCAGCGACGAGUACGCUCGUACCGAUGCAGUGAUUGGCCCACGGCUUGACGGUGAACUUGCCCGCCUAAAUUGAUAUUUUUUUAUACGUGUAGCUAGGGAAUUGAUUUGAUCUGAUUGUUGUAAGAAUCUCUGAAACUUAUUGAAGGUUGUAAUAUUUAAUUGGUGUUUUUAAACGCCGGGCGUUCAGGGUCUUUAUUGUACUAUUUCUGAAAUAGUUUUCUAUAAAGCCUUCUACUUCACGUCUACUGCUCAGUUGUCGAAUUUUAAGAAAACAUUUGCACUGAAUCUCUUCUACUUAUUUUAUUAGCCGUAAGUACACAUUAGUAUGUAGGUAUCUAGUUAGGUUGUAAUAUAAAAGAAAUUUACAUAUUGUUUCUUAGAGUGAGUUUGAGUGACUUUCCUACUUAUUUUUAGAGGAUUUUUAUAAAAACAAAUUAUACUCGCGUCCAUUGGUAGUGAAAAGUUUGCAUUUAGGUUAGAGAGAGAUUUCCUAUAUAUCCGUCCUUCACUGUCCCUAUUCCGUUUCUAUGCACGAGCUCCAUUUUCCUGCUGUUUAUUUUUGUUUUGUAAGGUCGCUUCACAGAGGACGGCUCAUUCAUUGGUCAAUACGUGCCGGGGGCGCGCGUGUUGCCGCCCCCGCCCCCCGCCGGCCCCGCCCCGCCCGCGCAGGCACCGCCCACCUACGUGUAAACUGCACCUUACGGCGUAGGAGACACGGCGCAGCGACAUCUAGCGGCGUGACGGGGAAACUGGUGUGUAAUGGCGCCCUCUUGUGAUUGGAUUGUGAAUGAAGUUAAUUUGUUGCUUGAAUGUAUGACCUUUUAGAUAAUUCUGGUGAAUGUUAAACUAUAUGGUGUGUCUGGACGAAUAAAAUGUAAUAGGUAAUGCUUGUAAUUCUAUGUCUAAAUAUUUAAAGUCCACUUAUCACAAAUCGAAUAACUUAAGAGUUGUAAAAGAAACAUUCACACUUCAAGAACAAGUUUACCCCUUUGCUGUUGUUCUCAUAAGGGUGUAGAGGGCGCCACAGUCUAUGAAACUGCCAUAAUGUAAUUCGAUAGGAUUAGAAUAGAAUAAGAUGCAAGCGUCAUGUUAUUAUAAAAUGUGUUUACUAAUAUUGUAAAUAACGCAGCAGAAGACUCCAUCGUCGAUUACUCAAGAUGACUCUCUUAUUCUAUUCUAAUCCUAUCCUAGUAGUGUUGUCUCUCUAUUGGCGGCGAAAUAUCAUUUUAACGCGUUUAGUUCAAAUUUAUUUAGUAACGUACGAGUAGGGCCAAGUUUAGAAUUAGCUGAACCUAGAGCCAGAUCCGACUGUUCAGCGCUAACCAGUGUCAGUAAAGAGAAGGCUAUUGUAGUAACUUUUAUUGUAUCCGAAGUUAAUUCGAUAAUAAUUUGUGUAUCGUAGUUCUCUGCGAUCUUUACGAAAAGGUGUAUUUUUAUCGUAUACUUUUAUAGAGUUCAUUUGAGCUGCGACUGUGAAACAAACAAGAUAUUAUUUCUUUAUGAGACUGAUUUUAUGUAAUGAAGUAAAGAAAUAGUCGUCCCUAGCUGACACGUAGCCACUAGACUGGUAGUGGCUACUCAAACAUCACACAUUCAUUAUUACAUAUAUUACAUCCUUAUUAUACAAGUCUUAUACGACUCUUUUAAUCUCGGCUUGGUUUAGUAGAAGUGUUGGCUCGAUAUCAAUUACUUAUGAUAAGGAUAUGGUAGCAAGUGAAGACUCGAAUUUAAGGAAAGCUAUUUUUGUCACAGAGAAUAGGAUAAUUGAGUAUAUGCUCUGUUCCGGUGGUCAGAUGUGCUGAGUGCGGCUUCGACCUCGCGCGGUCUCCUUGCUCGGGGGACUGUGGGAAGUCUAUAUCAUGUCGUUUAGGAGAAUUUACGCAUAUCUAUAAUCUUUGAAAUCUUUUUAAACAUUGACAAACUGCUAUGGACCAUUCUAUCACCUGUUGAUUUGAAACAAAUCUUAUUUUUUACUGACAUUUUAACUGUUCAGUAGCGAAUCUAACAACGAAAUUUAAAUUUUGAAUCUUUAAUACUUAUAAAGAGCUACUUAAAUAUUUUUCAAAACAUAUAAUAUUUUGACAUAUAGCUUCUUCAUAUUUCCACUUUUCUCUUGUGUAUUCGUUUUAGAAUUGGAAGUGAAGCGAUGUCAAGUAUUUACAUACGGAGUAGGGGGAUGCGUAGUGGAGAGAGUAUUUUCAUCUAAAUUAUAUUUUUGUAAGCAAUUGCAGUUUGACCACCGGCUGACGUUGGUGCUUAGCGGAGAGUGGGGCGGGUCGCGACAACGCUCGCGUUCACAAACUCACUCGUCACACAGAGUCGGUUCGUGGAAGGCAGCUGUCGAUUAAUAUUUAUCGGUGUUGUGAUUGUAAAGUUCGAUUUGUAGAGUGACGCACGCACGAUUCGUUUCAGUAAUUUUUGAAUCUCCUUAAUCGAUUUCUCAAUAGUACCUACGAAUCUCGCGUUGAUAUCCGUUUUUAUGUCCGUUUCUUGUUGUGACGCGGUCAUCGUCAGAAAUCGUCUCUCUUGAAUAGUGAGUUAGGUCCCUUUUAUGGUAGUUGAUAAGGCUUUUUGUAUUACUAAUUAAUUAAAUAUUGAACAUAAAUUCGCACCACACACCCGAGGUACAAGUUGAUAUUUCGUGUUUCAUGGCUUUAACGGUUGCCCCGGGUAAGUAAAUAAACUGAGAAGAAUUAAUUGAUGAAUGUUUUAUCCCGGGGCGGUCGCCGCCUCUGUGCCUCGGAGUGUUAGAUCUAAGGCUAGGGUCUCGUGUUAACUAAUGUUAGGCAGACGACCGCUUGUUGCAUCAGAACUUGUCAUCUCUUAUUUUAUUUAUUAUAACUUCGUACACUUGCAGACAAAUAAUUAGCAUCUUCAAAGUUCGAAAGACUUUGUUUGGCUGCCAGUGUAUUUACAUACUACUUAUAUAUUUUUUGUAUAAUUUAUUUUCUUCGCCUGAAAGGUGUCGGGUUCUUAAACAAUACAUUCCACACGGUGUAACCAUGUUGAGUUUUUAAAUAUCUCUUUCUUUUCAUGCAUCCAAGCCUGGGUCAGUUAGAUUAAAUCUUGAUACCUUGAAAGUUGUAACUUUUAGACUGACGUAGAGGCAUGGUGCAAUCUGACAAAUUAUUUAUUUUGUAUUUAAUAAAAUGACUUGUGUAUUUAUAUUUUCCUUAUUGGUAGGUUUAUCGAUGUUUCUUAUGGCAAAUGUUCAAAGUCCUGAUUUAAAUAUUGAGCUUACAAUGUAACCGUUGGUACCUUAUACCUUGCAUUAUAUUAAUAUUUGAUGGCACUGUUAUAUCCCCUUUGAGUUGUUUGUUAAGAAGUUUUUAUCACGUGUAGUAAGAAUUUAAAUAUAUAUAAAUGUGAGAGCAUUGUUCGGUUGAAUCCUGAGUUGUAGCUUGUGAGCCGUUAUCUAAUAUUUGAGAAGUAUUCAUCUGUCAUUGAGAUAUUUGUUAAGAUACAUAACGAUGUUAAAAUUGUUACAAACCCACCAAAAUUCGGUGAAGUAAAUCACUGCCUGUUUCCAAUAGCUUCGAUGUGUUCAACCUAAUGUAUCCUUCCUCCUUCUAUGUUUGUAAGAAGAAAAACACUUGCCUUACAUAUACAGAAUAUGAGAAAUGUUUAUUGUAAGUGUUCCGAGACUAAGUGACCGCAAAAUAUUAGCACAAUGUAUGCAUUUAUUUAUACUGGUGUUUAUACGUACAUGUUGUCACAAUGUCUGAUUUACUCGGGGCUGUCACAAACUAUGCAGCUAUUGUACUGUGCACUGGCCGCCAGGGUCACCACUAAAUGCAACUUACAGAUACAAAGUACACUUAAUAACUUGGCCGCCAGUGUACCGCAGUUCAAUUUACAUUAAGGUUCAUCUAAUUAUUAAAGUAUACAAUUUUUAGGUGAAAACCACGUUCUUAUUAUUAUCUCUAUUAAAUAGGUACAGUUAGCUUUAGUUGUUAAAAUCAAUAGUCAUAUAAUUAUGUAUUCCAUGCAAGCUACAUAGAUAUAUCUGGUAGGUACUAAUUGUUGUGCGGUACGAUAAAUCAGUGUUAUAAUUAAAAUAUACAUUAAAUUUUUGCUAAGCAAGCUUUUUUGAACGGAGCUGUUCGUGUUAAGUUGGAAUGUUAUCCGAUUUAUUAAAUUAUUGAGUGUAAGGCAGGUAAUUUCAGAUCAUGACAACGUUAAUAAAAUUUGAAACAAAAUUGACUUCGACAAUUAUUUCACGACUAUAAUAAUUACAUUUUAGUUUAUGCAUUAAGUAACAGUAAUUUAUUGUGUAACUAUGAUGAAUAUUUUUUUAUGUUGCAUAGAAAAUAAAAUUUAAGAAAUUA